RNAcentral lists this ribosomal RNA (447 nucleotides) under Streptomyces drozdowiczii. RNAcentral describes it as "bacterial SSU rRNA". It matches the Rfam family "Bacterial small subunit ribosomal RNA", at positions 1 to 456 of the family's 1533-position model. The record is from RNAcentral. Lineage: Bacteria; Bacillati; Actinomycetota; Actinomycetes; Kitasatosporales; Streptomycetaceae.
UUAGAGUUUGGAUCCUGGCUCAGGACGAACGCUGGCGGCGUGCUUAACACAUGCAAGUCGAACGAUGAAGCCCUUCGGGGUGGAUUAGUGGCGAACGGGUGAGUAACACGUGGGCAAUCUGCCCUUCACUCUGGGACAAGCCCUGGAAACGGGGUCUAAUACCGGAUAAUACUUUCUCUCUCCUGGGGGAAGGUUGAAAGCUCCGGCGGUGAAGGAUGAGCCCGCGGCCUAUCAGCUAGUUGGUGGGGUAAUGGCCUACCAAGGCGACGACGGGUAGCCGGCCUGAGAGGGCGACCGGCCACACUGGGACUGAGACACGGCCCAGACUCCUACGGGAGGCAGCAGUGGGGAAUAUUGCACAAUGGGCGAAAGCCUGAUGCAGCGACGCCGCGUGAGGGAUGACGGCCUUCGGGUUGUAAACCUCUUUCAGCAGGGAAGAAGCGAAAG